AGUCGAGCUGUUCACUACGUUUCUUUUCCUCUCUGUUACUGUUAUUCGUUUCACCAGGUUAUUGAAACUCGGAUUUUUUGAGGCCAAUAGCAGACGAUUAUUUUCAAAUACUCUGCCAGUUUGUGUUGAGUUGUGCCAGUGUUUCGUGUGUUUGUUUUUUUCUCGUGAGUGAAACCUGCCAAUGUGAAAAAAGGGGGAAUUGCGGCUGCCAUGCAUAGAGAAAAGAAAAGAUAAAGAUUUGAAACGCAGAGCUUAUCCUAGUGAUCCCCGACUAUCAAUUAAAAGUGAUUGAAUGACUGAUUCCAGAACACGACGUGAGAAAGACUAACUUGGUCAAGUGUGAACCUAUUGGCCCUCUCCAUACGCUUUCAGUUCUACAAAAUAAUCAAUCACAUAAAAACAAAAAUAAACAUUACAGAAAAAACGUCAAAUUUUUUUAAACACAAAAAAAACCUCAAGGUCUUUUUAUCGUUUUUUUUCUAAUUCGAUUUCUUUUGAUCGAUUUCAAUCGCCUCGUGUCUCGCUUGCUUUUCGUCUGCUGGGCGCCAAAUUGGUGAGUCGCCUUUAUCGACAGAUCGGAUUAACAUCGGUGUCGAAUCUCUUGUUAGUUUUUUUUUUUUGCUGCAAUUGGAAUUUUCCUCAUCAGUUGUCCGUCACGGGCUACCAAUCUUUAAAAAGAUUUCAAUCACAACGACGCAGUUACGAAGAAAUAAGAACAACCAGAGCAGCUCGAUCUGAUUUUGAUUACGAGGUCGCCUAUCCUUGCCAACCUGGACACUAUUGCAAUGGGUCGUUAUCAAACAGCAAUAUCCGACAGCUACGCAUUUGCCUGCGCGUGAAAGCGUGUUUUUUUUUUUCUUCUUUCUUUCUUUGUGUGCUAGCGUGAUGCGGCUGCUGAUAAAUGCAGAGCGCACUCUGUUAUACAUAUACAUAAACCAUAAGGCUCUUCUUCUGACUUUCUCCGCUUCUCAUCUGGAGAGCUUCUCCGGAGUAAUAACAAGAAGGCAAACGCGAGAAAAUAAAAAAGAAAAAUAGGCAAAAUUUGCUACUCUUUUCCGCUCUUCAUCCGUAAGGCUCAUCAACUGUGUUCUCAAAAUAAGAAACAGAGAAAAGAAUAAAAUAAGGGAGAGAGGGAGAGAGAGAGAGAGAGUUGGGGAACGAUAUUGUCACGGCCAUGGAUCUUUACCAAGAUAGAGACGUCGUGCUUCAGAUUAAAAGAUAAUGUGUAUUUCACCACAAGGUUCCAUAACACAACUGCAAAACUAACUGCUCUAACCAAUUAAUCAAAAAGCCCCCACAGGUGUGCCAAGUCGCCCCUUUUAUAUCCGGCGACGAGGGUGGUGCUCCAAAGGACGGCCAUAACUGGGGCGGGAUUUCCAUCCUAGCGCUGUUGUCGCUACCGCGGUGACGAAUCGAAUAUUUCCGACGCGACAUCCCCCUCCUUAAGUCGCGACUCGUCCCGAUCGCGCUCGUGUGCCAGGAAAAUAGAAGUCUAAAAUCUAAUAUUUGUGUUACGGGGUAGAGGGAUUACAGGGUUAGAGGAAUUACACGACAUUGACUUCAUUUAUAGGGGGGAAUAAAGUAAAUAAAAGCAUUUCUCAUGAAUAAAAGUUGGGGCCGCCGCCGACCCAUCUAGCGCUCGUAGCCUCAAUACUCACCGGCCGACCAAGAGAUGGCGUGGCCAGUUAGUGUCCUUUUCCAACCACGCUAUUCAGUCUCUUCUCAUGUCCUCACGUUCUCGCCGGCUUCCAUCACGUCCGUUUGGUCCCCUUUCGUCCUCUCUUCCUUCCCGAUCGGGUGUUGGUGAUCGUGGUCUCGUAUUACCCGAGUUGGUCUCGCAAAAACGAGCAAUAUGACCGGAGCGUCCACAUCGGUAGCAGAUUGGUUUUCCGUCUACUGUUCGAGAAGUAUUCUCCCCUCCCAGGCAUAAUUGUUUAGUCCCUCGUUCCAGCUCUUCUAUCCGAGCUGCCAUAUCGCGUAUUAAAUUUUUUAACUCGUCAUGCGACCCUGGGCGCGUGCUGUCUCGCUUUGCGUCGGACUCGUAGGCUUUUUGUUUCAACGGAGUUCGCCUUUCUUCGUAGUCAGCAUACGUGACUCGCUUGGCUGGAAUAGGUUCCUUCGCUUGUCCCAUAAAAUUAACUACCUGAUGCGGCUUCUCUGAAUCCUCAUAUGCCCUAGUAUAAAUUUUUAAUGCUCUAAAAAAUUCAUCUGUCGUCCGGGGCUGUUUAAUUGUCAUUUCUCGCUUCAAAGGCUGAUUAAGCCCACGCAAAAGAUAAUCUAUUUUCUUCGCUUCAGACAUCAUAGGGUUCAGCCUACGGCACUGAUUGAGCACGUCAUAGAAAUAUCCUACGACCGUUUCCGAAGCCUCCUGCUUCCGAUUACGUAGCCUAGCUUUAUGAUAGCGGUCGAAAUCCUCCGAGCGAAAUGUUUCUAAAAAUCGCGUUCGUAGGCCCCUUAUCCCGGUUUCGGCCUCCCUCCCAGGCGCGGCUUCACGCGGAGCAACAUCGUCCCAGACCACCUGUCCUAUUUGACAAGCUAGCCAAUCCUUUGCUGUGCCUUCUACGAAUAAUCCAAAGUAUUCCGCUUUCUCAGCGGGACCCCAUCCAUUAAAAUUGGCGGUCCUCUCGAAACGUUCUAUCCAUUCAGCGGCGUCAUCGUCUGGUCCUCCGCGGAAAACUGGUACUUCACGAUACUGCGAUGGAUGAGCCGGUGCACGCUGAGCGGCUCCUCCUGCCUGUGCAGGUACACGGGCGGGAGGUCCAUCAUUUCCUCUAAAUUCCGCACGUUGGGCCAUUUCAAGCGUUGGUGCUAUAACGAGCGGUAAAGCUCCAGAAAAAUCGUCUAACCCCUUAUCUCUUCCUUCCCUUGCGCACUCGUUAAAAGGUUCCUUGCUUUUCGGCUAUCUUCCGUUGCUCCCUCGGAUCAAUACACGUUUGUUCUCCUA
Long non-coding RNA from Daphnia carinata, 2944 nucleotides. RefSeq lists it as uncharacterized. The record is from RefSeq and is a predicted model, not a curated record. NCBI's taxonomy places the organism in Eukaryota, Metazoa, Arthropoda, Branchiopoda, Diplostraca, Daphniidae. The transcript is spliced from 3 exons.